UUUUGUGAAGGCCUGCCCAAUCUAACUAUUAGUAAAAUUAAUAAAAAAUAAUUUAGCCGCAAAUAAAAUUAGUCACAUGAUGACGUAUUGACCUUUUAUUGGACAAUCUCUUUAGGGAAAGCUCACAGCGCAGCAGCGCCCACACGUGCACGACACAGUGCGCAGUACAGGGAGGAUACCCUUCGAGCCGGCAUUGAACCGAAGCGUUGUGUGCUUGCGUGUCAGCGAGUAAAGUGCCCUUUUUAUUCUUUGAGCACCUGUCCCUCCAAUGGUCUCUGCACGGCCCUG
Molecule: non-coding RNA, 288 nt
Organism: Paramisgurnus dabryanus
Lineage: Eukaryota; Metazoa; Chordata; Actinopteri; Cypriniformes; Cobitidae
Source: RefSeq, a predicted model, not a curated record